This 253-nucleotide ribosomal RNA is filed under the name uncultured bacterium. RNAcentral's name for it is "partial 16S ribosomal RNA". It matches the Rfam family "Bacterial small subunit ribosomal RNA", at positions 524 to 776 of the family's 1533-position model. The record is from RNAcentral.
UACGGAGGGUGCAAGCGUUGUCCGGAUUUAUUGGGUUUAAAGGGUGCGUAGGCGGGAGAUUAAGUCAGAGGUGAAAGACUGCAGCUCAACUGUAGCAGUGCCUUUGAUACUGAUUUUCUUGAGUACAGAUGAGGCUGGCGGAAUUCCUGGUGUAGCGGUGAAAUGCGCAGAUAUCAGGAAGAACACCCGUGGCGAAAGCGGCUCUCUGGAACGGUACUGACGCUGAGACGCGAAAGCGUGGGGAGCGAACAGG